Molecule: ribosomal RNA, 255 nt
Filed under: uncultured bacterium
Lineage: Bacteria
Description: partial 16S ribosomal RNA
Rfam family: Bacterial small subunit ribosomal RNA
Source: RNAcentral
GACAGAGGUGCCGAGCGUUAGGCGGAAUCACUGGGCUUAAAAGCGUGUGUAGGCGGGCCGUUAAGUAUCUUGUGAAAUCCCCCGGCUCAACCGGGGGAAUGGCUGGAUAUACUGGCGGUCUUGAGCGAUCUAGGGGCAGAUGGAACAAGUGGUGGAGCGGUGAAAUGCGUAGAUAUCACUUGGAACGCCAAAGGUGAAAACAGUCUGCUGGGGAUCUGCUGACGCUGAGACACGAAAGCCAGGGGAGCGAACGGG